Molecule: ribosomal RNA, 468 nt
Filed under: uncultured bacterium
Lineage: Bacteria
Description: partial 16S ribosomal RNA
Rfam family: Bacterial small subunit ribosomal RNA
Source: RNAcentral
GACGAACGCUGGCGGCGUGCUUAACACAUGCAAGUCGCACGGCAAGGCCCUGCUUUUGUGGGGUGCUCGAGUGGCGACCGGGCGAGUAACACGAGAGUGUACUGCCCCUGCCCUUGGCAUCACUACAGGCAACCGGGGGUCAUACUGGAUACGUGCGUCUGCUGUUUGGUGGGGGUUGGUAAGUUUGGGCGGUUGGGGAUGGACUAGCGGCUUAGCAGCUUGUUGGUGGGGGAGUGGCUUACCACGGGUUUGGCGGGUAGUCGGCCUGAGAGGGUGACCGGCCACAUUGGGACAGAGAUACGGCCGGGAGCCCUACGGGAGGCAGCAGUGUGGAAUAUAGCACGAUGGGGGGAAGCCGGAUGCAGCAAGGCCGCGUGCUGGAUGACGGCCUUCGGUUAGGAAGCCACUUUCGCCUGUGAGGAAGCGUGAUUGACGGUAAUGGGUAAAUAAGCACCGGCUAACUACGUG